AUGCUGUAUGUAAGAAGACAUCUUCCUUGCAGGGAAUGGUUAGACCACCCAUUGGAUGAGAGUAACCAAAUUCCUCUUCAGCUUGACUCACCUUUUGGAACUUUCACUUCUUUUCUAGAAGAUUGGCUUGCACUAAAUGAUGAUCGUCUAAUACCAGAGGCAUCUAAGUCAACUCCAUGUGAUCUCUCAUCUCAUGGUGCCCAUCAUUUUAUCAAUGAUUUCUCUAGCAAAGGGAUUUGA
Molecule: long non-coding RNA, 240 nt
Filed under: Vicia faba (fava bean)
Lineage: Eukaryota; Viridiplantae; Streptophyta; Magnoliopsida; Fabales; Fabaceae
Source: RNAcentral